Molecule: ribosomal RNA, 403 nt
Filed under: uncultured bacterium
Lineage: Bacteria
Description: partial 16S ribosomal RNA
Rfam family: Bacterial small subunit ribosomal RNA
Source: RNAcentral
AUUGAACGCUGGCGGCAGGCCUAACACAUGCAAGUCGAGCGAGCGGCGGACGGGUGAGUAAUGUAUGGGUCCUGCCCGGUAGAAGGGGCUACCUACUGGAGACGGUAGCUAAUCCAGCAUACUAUCGGAUAACCCAUAUGGGAUUAGCUAGUAGGUGAGGUAAUGGCUCACCUAGGCGACGAUCCCUAGCUGUUCUGAGAUGAUGAUCAGCCACACUGGGAAUGAGACACGGCCCAGACUCCUACGGAGGCAGCAGUGGGGAAUAGUUCACAAUGGGCGCAAGCCUGAUGCAGCCAUGCCGCGUGUAUGAAGAAGGCCCGAGGUUUGUAAAGUACUUUCAGUCGGGAGGCGUUACCGACAGAAGAAGCACCGGCUAACUCCGUGCCAGCAGCCGCGGUAAUAC